RNAcentral lists this ribosomal RNA (465 nucleotides) under uncultured bacterium. Its description in RNAcentral is "partial 16S ribosomal RNA". It matches the Rfam family "Bacterial small subunit ribosomal RNA", at positions 28 to 507 of the family's 1533-position model. The record is from RNAcentral.
GACGGACGCUGGCGGCGUGCUUAACACAUGCAAGUCGAACGGAAAGGCCCCAGCUUGCUGGGGUACUCGAGUGGCGAACGGGUGAGUAACACGUGGGUGAUCUGCCCUGCACUCUGGGAUAAGCCUGGGAAACUGGGUCUAAUACCGGAUAGGACCGUGCUUUAGUGUGUGCGGUGGAAAGUUUUUCGGUGCAGGAUGAGCCCGCGGCCUAUCAGCUUGUUGGUGGGGUAAUGGCCUACCAAGGCGGCGACGGGUAGCCGGCCUGAGAGGGUGUACGGCCACAUUGGGACUGGGACACGGCCCAGACUCCUACGGGAGGCAGCAGUGGGGAAUAUUGCACAAUGGGCGCAAGCCUGAUGCAGCGACGCCGCGUGGGGGAUGACGGCCUUCGGGUUGUAAACCCCUUUCGGCAGGGACGAAGCUUUUGUGACGGUACCUGCAUAAGAAGCACCGGCUAACUACGUG